Molecule: ribosomal RNA, 788 nt
Filed under: uncultured Granulicatella sp.
Lineage: Bacteria; Bacillati; Bacillota; Bacilli; Lactobacillales; Carnobacteriaceae
Description: bacterial SSU rRNA
Rfam family: Bacterial small subunit ribosomal RNA
Source: RNAcentral
UGCUUGCACUGGUCAAUCUAGUGGCGAACGGGUGAGUAACACGUGGGUAACCUGCCCAUCAGAGGGGGAUAACAUUCGGAAACGGAUGCUAAAACCGCAUAGGUCCUUUAACCGCAUGGUUGAAGGAGGAAAAGAGGCGCAAGCUUCUGCUGAUGGAUGGACCCGCGGUGCAUUAGCUAAUUGGUGAGGUAACGGCUCACCAAGGCCGUGAUGCAUAGCCGACCUGGGAGGGUGAUCGGCCACAUUGGGACUGAGACACGGCCCAAACUCCUACGGGAGGCAGCAGUAGGGAAUCUUCCGCAAUGGACGCAAGUCUGACGGAGCAACGCCGCGUGAGUGAAGAAGGUUUUCGGAUCGUAAAACUCUGUUGUUAGAGAAGAACAAGUGCUAGAGUAACUGUUAGCGCCUUGACGGUAUCUAACCAGAAGGCCACGGCUAACUACGUGCCAGCAGCCGCGGUAAUACGUAGGUGGCAAGCGUUGUCCGGAUUUAUUGGGCGUAAAGCGAGCGCAGGCGGUUCCUUAAGUCUGAUGUGAAAGCCCCCGGCUCAACCGGGGAGGGUCAUUGGAAACUGGGGAACUUGAGUGCAGAAGGGGAGAGUGGAAUUCCAUGUGUAGCGGUGAAAUGCGUAGAUAUAUGGAGGAACACCAGUGGCGAAGGCGACUCUCUGGUCUGUAACUGACGCUGAGGCUCGAAAGCGUGGGUAGCAAACAGGAUUAGAUACCCUGGUAGUCCACGCCGUAAACGAUGAGUGCUAAGUGUUGGAGGGUUUCCGCCCUUCAGUGCUG